Molecule: long non-coding RNA, 125 nt
Organism: Populus euphratica (Euphrates poplar)
Lineage: Eukaryota; Viridiplantae; Streptophyta; Magnoliopsida; Malpighiales; Salicaceae
Exons: 3
Source: RefSeq, a predicted model, not a curated record
UAAUUUUUUUUGUUUACUUUAGUUUGUUAAUGUUAAAUUUCUUUUUAUUUAGUUAUUAGACUUUCAUGACACAUAUUUCAAGUUUCACGGGUUAACCCGGUUUGACGGGUUAACCCAGUUAAUUC